CGGACGGGUGAGUAACACGUGGAUAACCUACCUAUAAGACUGGGAUAACUUCGGGAAACCGGAGCUAAUACCGGAUAAUAUAUUGAGGCGCAUGGUUCAAUAGUGAAAGACGGUUUUGCUGUCACUUAUAGAUGGAUCCGCGCCGCAUUAGCUAGUUGGUAAGGUAACGGCUUACCAAGGCAACGAUGCGUAGCCGACCUGAGAGGGUGAUCGGCCACACUGGAACUGAGACACGGUCCAG
Molecule: ribosomal RNA, 241 nt
Filed under: uncultured Staphylococcus sp.
Lineage: Bacteria; Bacillati; Bacillota; Bacilli; Caryophanales; Staphylococcaceae
Description: partial 16S ribosomal RNA
Rfam family: Bacterial small subunit ribosomal RNA
Source: RNAcentral